CAAACAUCGCCAACAACGUGGCCAUACACGAGACACGCUCCAACAGCAAGUCAAUAAUAGGAGGAACACUCGAACGUCUGUUUCUACAGCCAUGCCUCCAGCUGACAGACCUGUAAGGGAGCCCUGUGCAGAAAACGAGAUGGAUGGCCAAUCCGGACCUCCGGUAGAUGUUGAUCUUCAUCACCUAGAAGCUAAUAAAGAUAACACUAUUAACACGUCAUGGCUGGAACAGAAAGAUACAGAAACAGGAGAAUGCUUAUAAGUCUCAGCGACCGUUAUCGGAGCUGAUCAAUUUGUAAAACAGACAUGUUAAAGUGAUUUCAUCAUCUGUACCUGUGUACCUUGAGUUGAAGCAUGUGCUACCACGUUUUUGCAACCGUUGCCGGGGCAAAAACAGUUAUAGUAAAGACAUUUAGUAGUUUUAACUCGAAACACAUAGACAUUUCAAUAGGUUAAAUAAUUAAAAUGCUUUUAUCCAGCCAUGGCCGUUUUCACGCCAACACGUUUUUAUUAAUAAAUAUUAGUACGUUUUUUAAA
Molecule: long non-coding RNA, 537 nt
Organism: Ruditapes philippinarum (Manila clam)
Lineage: Eukaryota; Metazoa; Mollusca; Bivalvia; Venerida; Veneridae
Exons: 2
Source: RefSeq, a predicted model, not a curated record